Long non-coding RNA from Anguilla rostrata (American eel), 2452 nucleotides. RefSeq lists it as uncharacterized. The transcript has 3 exons. The record is from RefSeq and is a predicted model, not a curated record. NCBI's taxonomy places the organism in Eukaryota, Metazoa, Chordata, Actinopteri, Anguilliformes, Anguillidae.
AGAGCAUGAUCCACCUACUGUAUUUCUCACAAGGAUUCAGUGUUCAACAGACUCCAGCUGCUGACAACAGCACCAGAGACUAGGAUGGUUUCUGCUCUUGCAAAGUGUUCUUCGACAACAUCUUUACAAACUAAGUAACACAAGAUAAGGACUUUAUUCUGAUUCUGAGGAAAAAGAGAUUCACCAUUAUAGGUAGAGACGGGACAGAAGUAAUAUUCCCAUAGAAACCAGCAUGACACAGGAGCUGUGAAAAUCAAGAGGGAGGCUGGGGAGCCGGAAUCCGCAGCUAUGAAACAGUCAUUAAGAGCCAGAGCCGAGGAACAUUGCCAGCUGAGUGUGAGAUCCCUGUGAGAGCAACGGUGCAGUGGCUGGAUUCUCCUGCACGCAGUCAGCCUGUGCCACCUAGCGUUAGCAGUCUGCUGAUCUGCUACAGCCUGCGACCGCAAGAUCCUUUCACGGUGAACUUCCUCAGGAUCCCAGGAGAGGGCAGCAUCUCCUCCAUCAUCAGACCAAGGGGAAACCUCAACUGGUUAAACAUUGCAGGGACUCACAGAGGUGUUGAUGGUGCGCGAAAUGCAGAGCAGAGCUUGUGCAAAAAUGCCCCACAAUCCUUAACUUGGGCAAUAUGACUGCCUCUCCGCCUCUGGUCUCAUGUGAUCUCAUUCACUUUUCCGUAUCACUGAGGGGAUAUGCAUUUAAAGAGUAAUAAUUCCAAGGAUCAGAUUGCAACUGCACAUGAACAUUAAGGAUAAAUAAAUCCAGUAUCUGCUCCCACUGUGAGAUUUCACAGGUCACAUACCAAGAAUGAAGCAUCACAAUGAUGACACAAAAUAAAUGUAGAGUGCACUGAUGAUAAAUUGUUUCCUAAAAUCUUUGUGUUCUCCUUAUCUGAAAAAAAACUCAACUGCUUCAAUUCACAUUUUUGCUUUCUGUAAUGUAUAUGAAGUCUUGGUAUACAUGAAUCCUUUGGUAUAAGGCUGACAUAACACUGUCCUACGCAUGACAUAACAGCUGCCACAAGAUGGCAUAACUGAUGAUGUCAGUUUAUGUCAAAUGACAUAAACUGUCAUUACUUUUACUGGUAAAUGUUAUGGCAGAUGUUUCUGCCAUAACAUUUACUGAUAAAAGUCAUUUGACAUAAACUGACAUCAUUUGUUAUGCCAUCUUGUGACAGCUUAAACGUGUAUGAAUACUCAGUAUGUCAACAUUUUCUGAAAUGUUGUUAGGAAAAACAUUUUCAUUUAAUUUCUACAAUGGUAAAGCUUCAAUCUCCUCACAGUCCUCUAUGUUCUGUGUGUCCUGAUCUUUAAAUCAAAUGGAGAAAAUAUAAAUUUAAAAGGCAGCCCUCACAGAAACACACUAUUUAAAGAUGCCAUCAACUUCUCACUCUAUUCACAGUGGGCAAUGCACAAAUAUAGUACUUACAAGCUGUAAAUACUUGGAUAAAUACAGUCAAUAAAUAAAUAAAUAAAUAGUGAACUACAUGAAAUAACCAUUCUUAUUAAUAAACAAACAGUGAAUUUAAAUAUAUAAUGCUGAGAAAUAAUAGCACCAGGCCCAGUAUAGGCAAAGCCCAGAGCACAAAUUGUGUGUUCUCCUGGUGGACACGCUCCAUCUUGCUACCUCCAAGUCACAAAAUAAUACUUUUAUUCAAAUAAUACUGCGUCCUCAAAGAGCACGGCUGGGUCAGGGCCCUGUUAUCUGCUACGGACAGAGAGUGGAGGAAGUCUGCGUAUAUAAUGAAUCAUCAAACUACGCAUGGAGCAAACGGGCACACGUUUAUGAAUGCAGAGCACUGCCUUAUGGCCUUAUGUUUGCACUUAACAAGGCACCUGAGAUGUAUGUCAUUACGCUUUGAGAAAUCCAGCCUAACGAACAGUGACAUGAAGGCAGAAAAAUGGGUUGACUGAGAUUGCCACUUGUAUCUGUGUAGACUUCUGCACAUUCCAAGAGCAAAUAUAUGUUUACGCAUGUAAUUGUAAAGGGUUCAUCGAAGCCUUUGUAGCUUUUAUUCACGCUCGACAUGCCACUGGUCUGAUCAUCCAUGUCUCCUCUGAGGAGGUGUGCGGAGGGCAGAUAAUCAACUCCAUUUGGAAUUGGGAGCAGAUCCUCGAUGAUGGCGGCAACGAUAACUUAAUCCUUUCCGGUUCAAUCCCAGUCAUUAAAUGUUGUUUUAAUGUAAAACUAACAGACUAAUAUGUCACAGGAAAGAACAUUAGAUGUAGUGCACUGAAUAAAGUUAAUGAAUCCCCGAAGAGAUGUAAAGUCUCUGGUGUGUGUUCUGCUGAAGGAGAUUUGAUCUCAGCGGUGGGUUUCUAGCUCCUUAACAAACAUUUUGCUUUACAAGAGAUGUCUCUUUCCCUGGGAAAAUAAUCUGUUAGAGCAAAUGAAAAUGCAGAAAGAACUGCCUUAAGAACAACUUGUCCUUUGUAAAGUUAUCUUGCUCCAGGUG